AGCUCCAAUAGCGUAUAUUAAAGUUGCUGCAGUUAAAAAGCUCGUAGUUGCAUUUCCGAGGCAAGGGAUUAGUCCGACCUUUGGUGGGAAUUUAAUCCUCUUGCCUCGUCCUUGAGAGGUGCUUCUUGGUAUUAAGUUAUCGAGGAGAUAGCCGCUCAUCGUUUACUGUGAGAAAAUUAGAGUGUUCAAAGCAGGCUUAUGCCGUUGAAUAUAUUAGCAUGGAAUAAUAAGAUAGGACCUCGGUACUAUUUUGUUGGUUUGAGAACCAAGGUAAUGAUGAAUAGGGACAGUUGGGGGUAUUCGUAUUCAGUUGUCAGAGGUGAAAUUCUUAGAUUUACGGAAGACGAACUACUGCGAAAGCAUUUACCAAGGAUGUUUUCA
RNAcentral lists this ribosomal RNA (381 nucleotides) under uncultured marine Chaetocerotaceae. RNAcentral's name for it is "SSU rRNA". It matches the Rfam family "Eukaryotic small subunit ribosomal RNA", at positions 587 to 972 of the family's 1831-position model. Lineage: Eukaryota; Bacillariophyta; Thalassiosirophyceae; Chaetocerotales; Chaetocerotaceae. The record is from RNAcentral.